This 253-nucleotide ribosomal RNA is filed under the name uncultured bacterium. RNAcentral describes it as "partial 16S ribosomal RNA". It matches the Rfam family "Bacterial small subunit ribosomal RNA", at positions 524 to 776 of the family's 1533-position model. The record is from RNAcentral.
UACGGAGGGUGCAAGCGUUGUUCGGAAUUACUGGGCGUAAAGCGUGCGCAGGCGGUUCGUUAAGACAGAUGUGAAAUCCCCGGGCUUAACCUGGGAACUGCAUUUGUGACUGGCGAGCUAGAGUAUGGCAGAGGGGGGUAGAAUUCCACGUGUAGCAGUGAAAUGCGUAGAGAUGUGGAGGAAUACCGAUGGCGAAGGCAGCCCCCUGGGCCAAUACUGACGCUCAUGCACGAAAGCGUGGGGAGCAAACAGG